GAUUAUUCAGUUUCUGGCUACUAAAUAAAGUAGCUAUGGACAUGGUUGACAAGUGUCUCUGUGGUAGGAUGAUGAAGCCUUUGGGUAUACACCCAAGAGUGGUAUAGCUGGAUCUUGAAGUUCACUGUAUUUGGUUUAUGUUGAGGUCUUUGAUUCACUUGGAGUUGAGUUUUGUUCAAGCUGAUUGUGAUGCUUCACUCUGCCCAGGAAGAUGGGGAAGGAAGCCCAGUCUCUGCAGAUUGGAGAAUAAGAAAAGGAAAGUCAUUCCAUGACAAUAACACAUGGCCUUCUGCAGUGGUGCAGUAGACAGAUAACUGCCAUGAAGCUCUUCCCUUGGAGAAAAAAAAUUGAGCUGGGCUCCAAAUAGAAAAUCAGCAAGUGAAGCCCUUUAACCAAGCAUGAGGGAGUUUGGCUCAGUGUUUAGCUGUGGGUGUCUGCUUCUGCUUCCAUCAGCUACUGGAUGAAGACUCU
This 471-nucleotide long non-coding RNA is filed under the name Cricetulus griseus (Chinese hamster). RNAcentral's name for it is "lncRNA (ENSCGRG00015036684.1)". The record is from RNAcentral. Lineage: Eukaryota; Metazoa; Chordata; Mammalia; Rodentia; Cricetidae.